CCAUAAUGAGAGAUCUAGAGACUGACAGCUGCCCACGAUCCAAAAUGUGCCCAUUCACAUUGGAUUUGAGAUCAAAUUGUGCAUCUCGAUCUGACGGAAAAACUUAUGUUAAUGAAGCAACAAUACACUGCUUGAUGAAAUGUUUGACAACAGAAGACAAAUUAACAACCGGCUCCAGUGUUUACUGCCAAGAUGAUGCCCCCUAAACUGCCAGUAAGAUUCAAGAGAGAAAUCAUGGCUCAUCCCCUUCAGACUCUGUAUGCAUAAUAUCUCUGAUUGUUUUCGACAGUCAGUUUUUUUCCGUUGCUUCAGAUACACCUUUUUAUGUUAAUUUUUUUUCUUGUAAAUUCUUCUCAUUGGAAUUGUAUUUUUGUUUAACUUUUUUUUUUCUCUCUCUUUAGUGCUUAUUCCAAAUUGUGUCACAUAACAAGGGUUAAGUGGUAGAGCACCUACUUGGUGAAUUUUCCCUUGAGGUUUAAAUUAGGAAAAUAAAGACAUUAUUAUUUUUA
This is a long non-coding RNA of Coccinella septempunctata (seven-spotted ladybird), 509 nucleotides long. RefSeq lists it as uncharacterized. The record is from RefSeq and is a predicted model, not a curated record. The transcript has 2 exons. Lineage: Eukaryota; Metazoa; Arthropoda; Insecta; Coleoptera; Coccinellidae.